AGAACGAACGCUGGCGGCAGGCCUAACACAUGCAAGUCGAGCGCUCCGCAAGGAGAGCGGCGCACGGGAGAGUAACGCGUGGGAACCUACCUUUUGGUUUGGGAUAACAUCGGGAAACUGGUGCUAAUACCGGAUAAGCCCUUCGGGGGAAAGAUUUAUCGCCAUUAGAUGGGCCCGCGUUAGAUUAGCUAGUUGGUGAGGUAAUGGCUCACCAAGGCAACGAUCUAUAGCUGGUCUGAGAGGAUGAUCAGCCUCACUGGGACUGAGACACGGCCCAGACUCCUACGGGAGGCAGCAGUGGGGAAUAUUGGACAAUGGGGGCAACCCUGAUCCAGCCAUGCCGCGUGAAUGAUGAAGGCCUUCGGGUUGUAAAGUUCUUUUGACGGGGACGAUGAUGACGGUACCCGUAGAAUAAGCUCCGGCUAACUUCGUGCCAGCAGCCGC
This 444-nucleotide ribosomal RNA is filed under the name uncultured bacterium. RNAcentral describes it as "SSU rRNA". It matches the Rfam family "Bacterial small subunit ribosomal RNA", at positions 26 to 518 of the family's 1533-position model. The record is from RNAcentral.